GACGAACGCUGGCGGCGUGCUUAACACAUGCAAGUCGAACGGAAGGGCCCUGCUUUUGUGGGGUGCUCGAGUGGCGAACGGGUGAGUAACACGUGAGUAACCUGCCCUUGACUUUGGGAUAACUUCAGGAAACUGGGGCUAAUACCGGAUAGGAGCUCCUGCUGCAUGGUGGGGGUUGGAAAGUUUCGGCGGUUGGGGAUGGACUCGCGGCUUAUCAGCUUGUUGGUGGGGUAGUGGCUUACCAAGGCUUUGACGGGUAGCCGGCCUGAGAGGGUGACCGGCCACAUUGGGACUGGGAUACGGCCCAGACUCCUACGGGAGGCAGCAGUGGGGAAUAGUGCACAAUGGGCGGAAGCCUGAUGCAGCAACGCCGCGUGCGGGAUGACGGCCUUCGGGUUGUAAACCGCUUUCGCCUGUGACGAAGCGUGAGUGACGGUAAUGGGUAAAGAAGCACCGGCUAACUACGUG
Molecule: ribosomal RNA, 468 nt
Filed under: uncultured bacterium
Lineage: Bacteria
Description: partial 16S ribosomal RNA
Rfam family: Bacterial small subunit ribosomal RNA
Source: RNAcentral